Molecule: ribosomal RNA, 303 nt
Filed under: uncultured bacterium
Lineage: Bacteria
Description: partial 16S ribosomal RNA
Rfam family: Bacterial small subunit ribosomal RNA
Source: RNAcentral
AGCAGUAGCCACGGUAAUACGGAGGGUGCAAGCGUUAAUCGGAAUUACUGGGCGUAAAGCGUGCGCAGGCGGUCCGCUAAGACAGAUGUGAAAUCCCCGGGCUCAACCUGGGACCUGCAUUUGUGACUGGCGAGCUAGAGUAUGGCAGAGGGGGGUAGAAUUCCACGUGUAGCAGUGAAAUGCGUAGAGAUGUGGAGGAAUACCGAUGGCGAAGGCAGCCCCCUGGGCCAAUACUGACGCUCAUGCACGAAAGCGUGGGGAGCAAACAGGAUUAGAUACCCCCGUAGUCCCUGUCUCUUAUAC